Long non-coding RNA from Hordeum vulgare subsp. vulgare (domesticated barley), 550 nucleotides. RefSeq lists it as uncharacterized. The record is from RefSeq and is a predicted model, not a curated record. NCBI's taxonomy places the organism in Eukaryota, Viridiplantae, Streptophyta, Magnoliopsida, Poales, Poaceae. The transcript has 2 exons.
AAGGCAAGUCAGGAGGGCUCUCGCAAGAGCUUGGAGAAAGAUUGGUCAAAUUCAUCGAGGUUAACAAUCAAUCGAUGGAGGACCGUCAAAAGGUGAUAAAUAGCCAGGUUCUUUUAUCAAAUCAACAACUUGAAACUGCAAAGAUCAACAACAAGACAAAAAUGUUGGAUGUUUAUUCCAAAAUGCUUUUAGCGGACACAUCUAAGAUGGAUGAUGGUGAAAAGGCCCGGCGUGCAAAGGCUUUGAGUAAUAUGGAGGCCAUGUUAUUUUCUUGAAGGAGAUGCAGGUGAUUGAAGGGAAAGAAGUGGUGCACUACGAAGCAUAUUAGAAGUUAGCUCGGUCAGUUUGUUGUGUGAACCUGAUGGAUCGUUCAUCACUUUUGGUGUCGGGUCAGUUUAUUUUGUAAACCAUGGAUUGUUAUUGUGUGUACCUGGUGGAUUUUUAAUUGUGUACCUGAUGGACCGAUCAGCUACUCUAGAAUUGAUGUGAACGUGGUGUUUUGCUGUUAGCUUUUGGACUGAUCAGCUACUAUUGCCAGUUACCUUUUUAA